Long non-coding RNA from Drosophila pseudoobscura, 996 nucleotides. RefSeq lists it as uncharacterized. The record is from RefSeq and is a predicted model, not a curated record. The transcript has 3 exons. Lineage: Eukaryota; Metazoa; Arthropoda; Insecta; Diptera; Drosophilidae.
CUAUACCCUCUUAGGAGUUUAAAAGCCUAUUGAAGCUGGAAGUGACGAAAUCGAAUACUCCAGGAGAAAGGAGUUCGUCGCCAAACAGCUACAAGUAUCGGCUGCUCGCCUGUAGAAAAAGCGAUCGGCUGUAGGUGUUAGCAAUGGCAAGCCCAACGUCAACGCACAGCCUUAUACGCCAUCUCUCCACUAGCCGAUGUAUUCUACGAUGAGAAGCUGAAGCAGAAAUCAGGAAAAGUCCACGCUGCUGAGGAAAUACACAUCAAGACAACUUUACAUUUAACGAAGUUCUGCCCCCGCCCACAGUGAUUGGCUAUAAGAGCAAGAACAUGUUUGCCGUGGACAAGAUCUGUGAGGGAAAAGUCUUAAGUGAUGUGCCGCUUGGGCAACUACAGCGAUGGCACUGUGGAUCUCCAUAUGUGCCGCACUUACUAAAUAGCAAAUAGGCAGCUCAGAGUUAUUUCAAAAGAUUGGAGGCAAUCGAUAUUCCUCGUUCAGCGAGUGCCAAUCGGCUGCUGUAUGUCUCCGGCAAUCCGCACAGUGCCAAACGGAACUUCAACGAGCUGGCCAGACCCGAGUGCAAGCAAGGGAUCCAGUCCUUGUUUGAUACCCCAAAGGAUACACACGAAGAUGAAAAGCACUGUCAGUAGAAGCAGAAUCAGAGGCUGUGGCUGAUUGAAACUACAACUAAUGUAAACAUUAAGACAAACAUGGCACUUCUUGUCUGUACAAAUCAUUUACGUUGCACACAGGCAAUGCCCUUCUGCGUCGUCUGAUGCGCCUUGCUGUCUGUGAUAAAUCUCGCAUGAAGGGCGUCGAAGAGGCGAAUCCCUGCACCGGCUCUCAAUGAAUAUUGAUUGCCUAGAUGACUCUGUUCACUCCGAUCCUAAUGCAAAUCACGCAUUGCGUUGCACAAGCAUGUGGGCAACAUUCCAUCGUUCUUUGUGCGCCUGGCGGCGGUUCUGGUUUCGUCAAGCGCCAUAACCAAAAGAAGAA